Long non-coding RNA from Pectinophora gossypiella (pink bollworm), 347 nucleotides. RefSeq lists it as uncharacterized. The transcript has 3 exons. NCBI's taxonomy places the organism in Eukaryota, Metazoa, Arthropoda, Insecta, Lepidoptera, Gelechiidae. The record is from RefSeq and is a predicted model, not a curated record.
AAAGUACCUUGUAUCUGGAGAAGUGGCACUGUGCUGGUCGUCCACCAGGCUGGACGGUGGUUGCUGCUGGGCUUCGGAGUGUACGGCCCCGGGUGCUCGGAGCCGGCUCGGUUCAUCGACUACGGCAUGUACCACAGCUGGGUGAAGACCAGCAUCGCCAGGAUGGGCAGGCCGGCUAUCACUAGGCUGGGGCCGGGACGCAUCGUCAUGAGGAGAUCUCUCGCUAGGAUCCAGAGGUUCGGUCCGUGCGACAUAGAGGAGAUGACCACAGAAAUAUAUACGGACCUCAACAAUGUGACCAUCAUACCAGAGACGGACCCCAGCCCACACAUGUACCGCACUAAAAC